RNAcentral lists this ribosomal RNA (253 nucleotides) under uncultured bacterium. RNAcentral's name for it is "partial 16S ribosomal RNA". It matches the Rfam family "Bacterial small subunit ribosomal RNA", at positions 524 to 776 of the family's 1533-position model. The record is from RNAcentral.
UACGUAGGGGGCAAGCGUUAUCCGGAUUUACUGGGUGUAAAGGGAGCGUAGACGGCAUGGCAAGCCAGAUGUGAAAUACCGGGGCUCAACCCCGGGACUGCAUUUGGAACUGUUAAGCUGGAGUGUCGGAGAGGCAGGCGGAAUUCCUAGUGUAGCGGUGAAAUGCGUAGAUAUUAGGAGGAACACCUGUGGCGAAGGCGGCCUGCUGGACGAUAACUGACGUUGAGGCUCGAAAGCGUGGGGAGCAAACAGG